Thunnus maccoyii (southern bluefin tuna) is the source of this 2172-nucleotide long non-coding RNA. RefSeq lists it as uncharacterized. The transcript is spliced from 4 exons. The record is from RefSeq and is a predicted model, not a curated record. Lineage: Eukaryota; Metazoa; Chordata; Actinopteri; Scombriformes; Scombridae.
CAAAGCUGUUGGACUCACCUGCUCAGAGCAUGUCAGGUUGGUGGGAGGAGCCAGUCGCUGUGCAGGUACACUGGAGGUGAAAAAGGGAGAAUGGAGACCAGUGAGUUACCAUGACUGGACCCUGAAGGCAGCAGCUGCAGUUUGCAGAGAUCUGGACUGUGGCUCUGCUGUUUCAACAAGCAUAAAUGAGACCUCACAGAGACCUAUUUGGUGGAUCAGCUCUGACUGUUUUCAUUCUGGAUCUUCUGCACUGAGUGACUGUGCAUUAUCAGAUUUCUCCUCCGACAUUUUGGAGCUUACCUGCUCAGGUAAGUCUAUCAGUGACAUCAUCUAUGACUAAUAUUUUUCUUUCCUCUGUCACAGUGAUAAUCGUGGUUUCCUUUGGACUGAACUGUUAACGUAUCCAGGAUGAUGGCAUCCUAAAUGGUAAAGAAGUUAGCUUGUUCCUGGAGGCUCAUUGCUUCAGACUGAGAAAACCUGCACUUUUAAACAACCUGCUGUGGUUCACCGACACAACCUGCAGCUCUCCUGAGCAGCUCAGUCACAUCCACCUUACAAGCAACAACUACAUUACAAAUGAAAACUUGUGUGGAUGUCAGAGAGGCUGCUGUUUGUUGUCCGCCUGUUCUACAGAGGUGGAAUCAUCCACAUCUCCAUCUUCCUCAUGGUUAACUUGCCAUCAAACAGUUGAAAUCCCAGACUGUACAACUCCUUGAAGCAGACUUCAUUCUUCUGGCCAGCAACAGGAUGUAAUUCAAGUACAACAGGAGAAAAAGUUGCUUUAUGAACUUCCUUUUGGUGCAAAGGCGCAAACAACAGUAAGAGCUGUUCUUCCUGUGACACGUAGUCACAAUGAGGUGACCCUCUUGCUCUGUGGGGAGAACUCCAACACAGCAGCACUCAGCAGGGGGCUCAUGAGUAUCCCCACUGUUGUGUUUGAGGAUGGUUGGUAGAGUGAGUGGGAAGGAUGAACUAGCAAGCAGGCAUCAAAUUUUCAUAAUAAAAAAACUGGCCACAAAAAGGAGAAUUUUAAUUGGUUCAUCACCUGCAGAUAUUUAGUGGAAAAAACCUUCACAGUCCACAAAAUACUGUCCCUUCUCCAUUUUCCUGGAUAGGGAAAAACAGACCAACUCGUUUGCUGUCUUCCAAAACCUUUUAAACCCUUUCACCUGUCGUAUGUGGCCAAUCAGGGAGGGUCUUUGGAAUUAGUGUCACUUUGACCUAGGUGGUAUUAAUCUCCCCUCAUAUGGAGCUAAACGGUAUUCAAUUGUAUUUUGACAAAAAUAUUAAUCAAGUUUACCGUCUGAAGAGGCAUAAUCAAAAAUACAUGUUGUUUAUGACUGGCUAACGUUACAGCAGGACAAAAUACCCACAAAGACAUUUUAAAGGGGAAGUGCAAUCCUUCUUAAAGGGUCAAGCAGGUCAGGGAAAUCCCCCUACAGAAAGUCUGUGUGAGCAAAAAGACUAAACACAAGUGAACAAGCAUUUCUCAAACAUCACAAGUUCAUGGCUCAUAUAAAUAUUGAUCAGAUGAGUGAGAAGACUGUGCACCUUCCUCUCAGCAUACAUAAGAACACUGGCUCAAUUACAUAUUUGUAAUGGAGAAAGUAGGCGCCAUGACAUUUCUCACCCUCUUUCCAUUUGGCUGACACAUCUCAGGUAACCUUGACAAAUAGUCUGCAUAAGGUUUUUCUUGCCUGAACAAUGCUCAGUGUUGUACUGGUAUAGCUGGAAGGCUAGACACCACCACAGGAUCCAGGCAUUCUGAUGUUGCAUUGAGUGCAUUCAUUUCAGGGCUCGGUGGUGAGUCUGCAGCUGGAAUUCCCUUCCCAGGAGGUAGUAGCACAAGGACUCAAUUGCCCGCUUAAUAGUCAGACUCUCUUUUUCAGCAGUAGAAUACUUCUUCUCCUGGUCAAACAGCUCUCUACUCGGGUACAAGAUGGGCUUCUCCGGGCCUGGUUCUCCUUGUGCCAGGGCAGCCACUAGUCCAACACCUAAUGCAUCCACUCACCUUAAAAGUCUGAUCACAAUCCCCUGACCUUUGCAGUCUGGAUGUACUGGAGUUUUUUGUGAGGUUUCUGGAUCAUCUCCAUGGUCUUCACCUUCUCCACCUGUACAACUGGGCUCUCAAGACUCUGUCAGGCUGGUGAAUGGGACUAGUCUGUGUUCAGG